RNAcentral lists this ribosomal RNA (452 nucleotides) under Macellicephala linseae. RNAcentral's name for it is "SSU rRNA". It matches the Rfam family "Eukaryotic small subunit ribosomal RNA", at positions 779 to 1228 of the family's 1831-position model. Lineage: Eukaryota; Metazoa; Annelida; Polychaeta; Phyllodocida; Polynoidae. The record is from RNAcentral.
AGCAGGCGAAAGAUGCCCGGAUAACGUUGCAUGGAAUAAUGGAAUAGGACCUCGGUUUGUAUUUUGUUGGUUUCGAGAACUGGAGGUAAUGACUAAGAGGGACUGCCGGGGGCAUUCGUAUCGUGGUGUUAGAGGUGAAAUUCUUGGAUCGCCGCAAGACGAACUACUGCGAAAGCAUUUGCCAAGAAUGUUUUCAUUAAUCAAGAACGAAAGUCAGAGGUUCGAAGACGAUCAGAUACCGUCCUAGUUCUGACCAUAAACGAUGCCGACUAACGAUGCGCCGGAGUUGUUUCCAUGACCCGGCGGGCAGUUUCCGGGAAACCAAAGCGUUUGGGUUCCGGGGGAAGUAUGGUUGCAAAGCUGAAACUUAAAGGAAUUGACGGAAGGGCACCACCAGGAGUGGAGCCUGCGGCUUAAUUUGACUCAACACAGGAAAACUCACCCGGCCCGGA